This is a long non-coding RNA of Raphanus sativus (radish), 977 nucleotides long. RefSeq lists it as uncharacterized. NCBI's taxonomy places the organism in Eukaryota, Viridiplantae, Streptophyta, Magnoliopsida, Brassicales, Brassicaceae. The record is from RefSeq and is a predicted model, not a curated record. The transcript has 2 exons.
GAGCAUGAGUUCUCAAGGCACUUAAACGCCCAUGGAGGAAAGCGAAGCCAAGAGCAAGAAAACAGGAGCCUCGCUCAAAAGACCCAAAACUUUCAACAGUUUAUCAGAGACCACGGCGAUUCUUGGGUUAUAUCUCACGCCCUUUCUACCCAACAAGGGGAACCAGUUUUUUUUUUCCCCCUCAGAACAGAGGAUAUAGAUGUUUUGGAUUUCUAUGUCCUGUCUGAGCACAAAACGCAUCAGCCUUAGCAUUCUCCCAUCUCACUGCUCCAUAUCAGAUUCUUUUUUACACGGUAAAGACAGAGGUGACUCACGUUCCAGUUGUAACAGUGUCGACGGGAAGUGCAGAUUAGACAACAAGGAAGAAAAAUUUCAUCUUCCUUUCUUCAGUAAAAUGUUUUGGAGUGGAAACGUGAAGAAGUCAUCAUGACAGAAAUCGAUUCAUGAAGACAGAGUAAAAGAUUGCGACUUUUUUUUUUCAACAGAGUUGAUUGACGCACACAAGGCUUGUUUAAAUGCCACAAAGAACUUAGAAUGGUUCAGCAGCAGUUUAUAAGGAUAGCUUGUGGGAACAGUCUCAUUUACUGAAUACCUCUGAGAACUCUCCAAGUACCUCUGAGGGAGUCAUGAUACAUCUCCAAGUAUCUACCAAAAGCUGUCAUUUUGUUCAGCAACUGACUGUGUUACAUCUUCACGUGAUGCUUCAACUAGUCAUUGUCUCCUCCAAAGCCAACUUCAUUUGCAUUCAAACCCGACGCCAAGUUUGCAGGGGAGUAUUAACACAAGCCCAUGUAUUUAAGGUUUCAUGCAAAGAAAGUAGUAUAAAUCUCUCUCUUGUAAGAACUUUCAAUGUAACCUAGAGUUGCCUCUCUCUUUCAAUCUAUUAUGAUUAUCAGUCUUUAUCUUGGUGACAACUUCAUCUUCCUUCUUUCAUUUACUUUCUUCCAUAUGAAUAAAGAGCUCUAUGAGUUAUUUCA